CAAUGAUUUGCAAUUUGUUUUUUCAAAUCAAAAUUAGGAAUCCAGUGACGCAACCCAAGUACCAGAUGGAGAUUGUCUCAGCGAUCCACGCAUCCAUAAAGAUGCCAACGACGAGGACAGGGACCAUGCUAGAAAAGAAAUGACACUGAAGAGGAGGCACUCCAGAACAAGGGUGCAGAUUCACGUGCCCCCCGGCAUACAUCCAACCCCCAGAAUUCUGCAACUGGGGCCACAUCUGAAGAGAAAACAAAUGAGAAUGAGGAGGAGGCAUCCCAUAACAAGAUGGCAGAUGAACGCGCCCCCCAAGAUGCAUCCAAAACCCAGAGCUCUGCAAGUGGCGGCACUUCAGACG
Molecule: long non-coding RNA, 352 nt
Organism: Panicum virgatum (switchgrass)
Lineage: Eukaryota; Viridiplantae; Streptophyta; Magnoliopsida; Poales; Poaceae
Exons: 3
Source: RefSeq, a predicted model, not a curated record